GGCCUCAUACAUGCAAGUUCGAGCGCGAAAGUCCGCAAGGAUGAGUAAAGCGGCGCACGGGUGAGUAACACGUGGAUAAUCUACCUUUUGGAUUGGAAUAACCUGUCGAAAGACGGGCUAAUACCGGAUAAGUUCUCGAGGGCGUAAAGCUCUUGAGAAGAAAGCUGGCGCAAGCAAGCACCGAAAGAUGAGUCUGCGUCCCAUUAGCUAGUUGGUAGGGUAAAAGCCUACCAAGGCUACGAUGGGUACCUGGUCUGAGAGGAUGAUCAGGCACACUCGAACUUGACACGGUCCAGACUCCUACGGGAGGCAGCAGUAGGGAAUAUUGCGCAAUGGGGGAAACCCUGACGCAGCCUCUCCGCGUGGGUGAAGAAGGCCUUCGGGUCGUAAAGC
This 393-nucleotide ribosomal RNA is filed under the name uncultured organism. RNAcentral describes it as "bacterial SSU rRNA". It matches the Rfam family "Bacterial small subunit ribosomal RNA", at positions 45 to 431 of the family's 1533-position model. The record is from RNAcentral.